GCCGAAGUAGCUCAGUUGGUAGAGCAGCUGAUUUGUAAUCAGCAGGUCGUGGGUUCGACUCCCUUCUUCGGCUCAA
This 76-nucleotide transfer RNA is filed under the name Sphingobacteriales bacterium. RNAcentral's name for it is "tRNA-Thr". It matches the Rfam family "tRNA". From Rfam's summary of the family: Transfer RNA (tRNA) molecules are approximately 80 nucleotides in length. The record is from RNAcentral. Lineage: Bacteria; Pseudomonadati; Bacteroidota; Sphingobacteriia; Sphingobacteriales. RNAcentral also lists the same sequence under 1 other name.